UACGGAGGGGGCUAGCGUUGUUCGGAAUUACUGGGCGUAAAGCGCACGUAGGCGGAUUGGAAAGUUGGGGGUGAAAUCCCAGGGCUCAACCCUGGAACUGCCUUCAAAACUCCCAGUCUGGAGGUCGAGAGAGGUGAGUGGAAUUCCGAGUGUAGUGGUGAAAUUCGUAGAUAUUCGGAGGAACACCAGUGGCGAAGGCGGCUCACUGGCUCGAUACUGACGCUGAGGUGCGAAAGCGUGGGGAGCAAACAGG
This 253-nucleotide ribosomal RNA is filed under the name uncultured bacterium. Its description in RNAcentral is "partial 16S ribosomal RNA". It matches the Rfam family "Bacterial small subunit ribosomal RNA", at positions 524 to 776 of the family's 1533-position model. The record is from RNAcentral.